AUCCUCUUGAAAGCAUUCUGGUAAUUGGAGCUCUUCUUUUACUUCGAGCAGGUAAUGAACGAAUGGUGUAAAGCCAUCCAUAGAUAGAUCCAGCCGGACAUUGCAUGAUUUCUGAAAAAAUAAAGGAUGGCAAGCAUCAAAUUACAUCCAUGCCUCGCUGCCCAAUGUAUGACACAUCAUAUCAGAGUACUUGCGUAGUCCUUCUUUGUGCCAUC
RNAcentral lists this long non-coding RNA (215 nucleotides) under Elaeis guineensis (African oil palm). Its description in RNAcentral is "long non-coding RNA (EGUI_LNC023409)". The record is from RNAcentral. Lineage: Eukaryota; Viridiplantae; Streptophyta; Magnoliopsida; Arecales; Arecaceae.